UUGAUUGUUUUCCUGUUUGUUUUGGUGGGUUGUUUCAGCUUUCGGAGAAGAGGAAGGUGACGAUUCAGGAUUUCAGAGGGAAAACACUGGUCUCCAUUAGGGAGUAUUACAGAAAGGACGGCAAGGACCUACCUACUUCAAAAGGUCUUUUCACUAAGAAAUACAGAAGCUUCUCUUUUUAUACAGAUCACGCCUCGAAUGAUUUUGCCACUAAGAAGGUCAAGUUAUACACUGGUUCCGUCCUCUUUGUUUCUUGGGUUUUUUGCUUCUAUAAUGUUGGUUGGACAGGGAAUAUAUCUCACUUCCACUGCACGCAGUCAUGCUAAAGAUAACAACUUGCAUGAAGGUGCACUAAUUGGCGACUUCAAUGGGGAAUUCUGGAGUGUGCACUACUAGAAAAAUGAAUUUUGGCAUCAAGAUCCAUAGCUUUCUACUUUUCGUUCACCCUAAACCCUAUGUUCAACUCCUUUGAUGAUUUUCGUUAAGAUUGGUAUAUGGGUGAGGAAAGUGGAUAUGCUUGAUGGAGUUUCCAUUGUGCGAUCUGAGAAGGUGAAGGAUGAGUUGGUUUUCGAUGGAAAUGACAUUGAGCUUGUUUCUAGGUCAUGUGCCCUUAUCAAUCAGAACAAGGAUAUCAGGAAGUUUCUUGAUGGUAUUUAUGUUAGUGAGAAGGGGACCGCAUUAAUAAAGAAGCUAGAGAAUGAUUUUUUGAAGAGAGAUAAAAGUGGUGGUUAUUUGAAAAGAGUUUAGCUAUAUUGAUAUUGAUUCCUCUUCCACAUCGGUGACUGUCUCUGGCCAGAUUAUUUUAUGAGGUGGUGAAAAAGAUCGUUAUGGGGAAAAAGAUUGGAGCAUGUAUUUAGUAGAAAGUCUAAAUUAAGGGUUAACAGUGUGUGCUACUUCACUUUCUGUAACUGGAACUUUGGAAAGUUAAAUUAGUUAUGAGCUAAUUAUAUGAGCUAUUUCUGAAUGGAAAAUGUGCUAGGUAUGACUUUUUAA
This is a long non-coding RNA of Lotus japonicus, 993 nucleotides long. RefSeq lists it as uncharacterized. NCBI's taxonomy places the organism in Eukaryota, Viridiplantae, Streptophyta, Magnoliopsida, Fabales, Fabaceae. The transcript is spliced from 9 exons. The record is from RefSeq and is a predicted model, not a curated record.